This is a long non-coding RNA of Brassica oleracea var. oleracea, 542 nucleotides long. RefSeq lists it as uncharacterized. The transcript is spliced from 3 exons. NCBI's taxonomy places the organism in Eukaryota, Viridiplantae, Streptophyta, Magnoliopsida, Brassicales, Brassicaceae. The record is from RefSeq and is a predicted model, not a curated record.
AGAGGGUUAGGAAUUAAACCCUAAACCCGUUUUGUGUGUUUCUUCUUCCUUCUGAGCCGCGCAAUCUCACUCUCUCGAUAUCAGCUUUUCAUCAUCUUCGACCAUCCUUGUACACCCUAACUUCGCAUCUCCAUUGCAGCCAACACCAUUCGUAUCAUACUGUUUGGUAUUAGUCAUUUCAGGAGAUGCUCCUGCUCUGUUUCUCCGUGAUUAAAAACUCUGAGACAUGGCUGAUUCAAAGGUGGUGGUUCCAGAGUCUGUGCUAACUUGGUUCGAAAUUGCGGGUGGCGACAAGAAGCGAGGAGGUGGGAGCUUAGCGCCUAGCGCCAUGGCGGUACAAAGCGAGCGCUUUGUCUACCUGCAACAGAACAAGGCACAACUAAACGCCGCUUUUAGCGCUCUAUGGAUAUUGCAAAAGCGAGGAAAAAGCGAGAAAAGCUAGGGAUCUAUGUACCUCGCCUGGCAAGGGUGUCCCUAAGCGUUGAGGGCAUCGCCUUGGGCGCCUUAGCGCCAUGGCGACAAAAACUCUCGCUUUUUCGAAC